AAUGAAACUUAUGAAAACAACAGAUGUUCACAGGUCAGAUGAGGGCGGGAACAGUGUACCAGUAUAAAUUACACACAGACCCACUGAUCUGUCCUUUCCAGAGCCUUCUGCUGCCAGAUCAACAAGAUUUUAUGGCGUUUCCUCUGUGGGAGAUGCUGUGGAAACUUGACUGGUCUUGUAGCACUAAUGUCAUCAUGAAGGAGGCGGAGUUUAUGUAAAUCCUUGCUGCCAGGGGUGAGGUCAUCUGGCCCAGUGCCAUUCAGAGGGGAAACCCAUUUGUUGGUGCUGUUGUCCAGAUGCGCAGAGGCCAGCGCAGUCUGCGAAGCCUAACACCGCGUGACGCCUGACAACCUAUGCGUAAAGCCUCAAGUCUAUGAAAAAUGCCGACAAAAAGCCAAGAACCGACCAUAAAAAACCAAUGCAUGUGAUGCUAACUAGUGAACCAAGAAAUCUCUUUAACACAUUGCUGACUCCUGAAUAAUGCUACAAAUGUUGACUCCUGAAUAAUGCUACGAAUGUAAAGUGAAGAAGUUAAAUUUUGGUGAAACCUUUGGUUUCUGCAUUGCUUGGUUGGUUGGUCUGGGGCCCAACUGAUAAAACAAAAAGCCCCAGAAAAAAAGUACAAAAAAAAUAAAAUUCUAAAUAAAAAUAGUAAAAUCUGCAACAGAAAUUCAUAUUGUGUUGUGUCUAUUUUUGUUUAUCUGCCAAUGAUUGAUGAUGAUUUUAUUAACCGUAGCACUUCUUACACAGGCCACUGAAAGAUUGUUUAGACACUGUAUAAAAAUAAAAAAAAUUAAUCAUUGGUGAAACAAAGAAUAUAUAAGUAAGUUUGAUAACACAUUACAAUAAGGUCCCAUUAAUUAAGAAAGAGCAAUACAUUUGUUACAGUGUUCAUUGAUCUUUGUUAGCAUUAGUCUUCAUAUACAACUCAUGAUUUUAAUAAUGAAGUAAAUGUUGAAAUUGAAAUUAACUAGGAUUAAUACAAUUCAGCCAUAAAUUUUCUUGCCAUGAAAAUGACCACAGAAGCUGGCGUGGCGUUAAACACAAACAAACAAACAACUAUACUGAUUAUUGUUUUAGAUGUAUUUAUCACUGCUAGUUUGUGUUAACUUAAUGUAGUUUACGAAUGUCAGCAAAUUGAAUUUUGUAAUUGCUGCCAGAUGUAUAAAAUAUAUAAAGUUUUGUACAAAACAAUCAAAAGCAUUGCAUAUAUUUGACGUAAGUAUAACCAAGAGGCCAAACAUGAUCAAAACUUCCUUCUACAGUAUGUGUCACUGUCAUUCCUGACACAAGACUAUCUUUUCUAAUCACACUAUAAUAGGGCUUAAACUUUUUGUAUCUGAAUUGUAACAUGAUAAUUUAUAUAACUGAGAACAUCUGAAAUUCCCCACAAGUAAAGUUUAACUUUCACUUUCGUUUCUGUGGAAAUAUUUCCUCUAAUGUGUCUGCACCGGAUUGGCUGCUGCAGUUAUGUUCUUUGAGGAAGUGUGAGCAGUUUCUGUAGGAAGAGUAUAAAUAACGAAUGAAGAUCCACUUCACAUUAACUGCACUACUCUGCUCUGAACCUUAAACAAAUCAUCAGCAUGAUCUUAUCCGAGGAGAGUGAUGAGGGGGAUGACGACGACGAUGAUGAAGAAGAUGAUGGAGGUGCUGGAGUAAGUGUCUGCUGCCAAGGGUAAACAACUGCUCCAGACCUUGAUGCAGCCAGUGUUGAGAAAGACCCAAUAGCACGCUGGAUCAAACAAACUGUGUGCAAUUGCUGAUACAAGCCAGCAGCAGCCAAAGCAAUCACACAGCUUCAGUUGUGACAAAUGUCACAACCCAAGUAUCUCCCACGCCAUGUGUGUCCAUGGCAAGCUUGACACGUAGACAAUGACUCCUCCAUGGAAAACGAUGGAACUCGCAACUUUUCCGCUGUGCAGUGGCAGCACCAUCGCUUUUCUUCAGAACGGCUCUGCUUUCCUGUCUGUUUGUGCAACCCUGAAGAAACCAUGGAGAGAAGAACGAAAUGUUCAUGGAGAGGUGAUCCCUCAUGAGAGCUGCUGGUCCAGAGGUUGGACGAUGUGAGCCAGUUUUUUCUGUGAUCACAAUCGUCCUGAUUCACCAUUGUGCCACCGAGCAACGCACAUGACUCCAACGCAGGACUGACUGUUUCUGCAAAAUGUCUACAGUAGUCAACAAUCCAUUAAGAUACAAACAGAGAAUGGGCUGGAUGGGCAUUUUGUUGAUGUACUAAUGGAUGCAUGUUGCUCACAUAUUUACAGGGAGGUCUUGCCCUUUUGAAGCCCAAGUGUAUUUGUUGUAAAGAUAAUAUUCAGACUAUAGCUGCUUGGUCCAAAUAGCUCUCCAGUAAAACUAGCAGAAGGUUUCUGGAGCAGCGGAUCAGGGUUAGAGGUAAAAGCCCACUGUUUUUUUUUUCUUUCUUUUUUGAUGUUCUUUUACCUCAUUUUGAUGCCACAUCAACGCCGCUCAGCCAUAGAGAGUGUGAUCAGAGCGAGAUGACAUGUUCACCAGAAUAGGUUUCACAAGCACACUGGUUCUGCAGGUUGUGCUGACUUGGUUGAAUCCACUGGUUCAGAUAUCUUACUAACAAUACACAAUAUGACACACUGCUGAAUUUCACGCACAGGUGUUAUCGCAGUGCUGUUGAACAAAAGUUACACAACAUACAGUAGGUAACGUACCUGUAUUGAGACACGAUCUCAUACAGAACAAGGUCUUUAUCAAAGGACCUAUUAAGAUCUAGCCAGAAAUGAAGCCCAAUAGAUGCGACACAACAUCAAAGGACAUCAUAUCCUAUUGAGCACUUAUUGUUUUCUUGGUUAUGUGGCGAGGGGAUCAUUAGCAAGUGAUCUGUUUAGUCAUUAUAAAUGAUGUUCUUAGAAAUGUCAUGAAUGCAGAUGGAUUUCUGUGCAUUUGUCUGCCUAAAUGUAUCGCUUUCUAAUGAGCUACACGGUAACUCCCCCUAAAUAAAGUAAUGUUGUGAAAAACA
Molecule: long non-coding RNA, 2992 nt
Organism: Cyprinus carpio (common carp)
Lineage: Eukaryota; Metazoa; Chordata; Actinopteri; Cypriniformes; Cyprinidae
Source: RefSeq, a predicted model, not a curated record